Molecule: ribosomal RNA, 141 nt
Filed under: uncultured bacterium
Lineage: Bacteria
Description: partial 16S rRNA
Rfam family: Bacterial small subunit ribosomal RNA
Source: RNAcentral
UGGGGAAUUUCCCGCAAUGGGCGAAAGCCUGACGGAGCAAUGCCGCGUGGAGGUGGAGGGCCUACGGGUCGUCAACUUCUUUUCUCGGAGAAGAAACAAUGACGGUAUCUGAGGAAUAAGCAUCGGCUAACUCUGUGCUAG